Molecule: ribosomal RNA, 403 nt
Filed under: bacterium
Lineage: Bacteria
Description: partial 16S ribosomal RNA
Rfam family: Bacterial small subunit ribosomal RNA
Source: RNAcentral
UGGGGAAUAUUGCACAAUGGGGGAAACCCUGAUGCAGCGACGCCGCGUGAACGAAGAAGGCAUUCGUAUCGUAAAGUUCUGUCCUAUGGGAAGAUAAUGACAGUACCAUAGAAGAAAGCUCCGGCUAAAUACGUGCCAGCAGCCGCGGUAAUACGUAUGGAGCGAGCGUUGUCCGGAAUUAUUGGGCGUAAAGGGUACGCAGGCGGUUUAAUAAGUCGAAUGUUAAAGAACGGGGCUCAACCCCGUAAAGCAUUGGAAACUGAUAAACUUGAGUAGUGGAGAGGAAAGUGGAAUUCCUAGUGUAGUGGUGAAAUACGUAGAUAUUAGGAGGAAUACCAGUAGCGAAGGCGACUUUCUGGACACAAACUGACGCUGAGGUACGAAAGCGUGGGGAGCAAACAGG